GUGCUUACCUGGCAGGGGGAGAUGCCAUGAUCACGAAGGUGGCUUCCCCAGGGACGGGCUCGUCCACUGCACCGGACGUGCUGACGCCUGCGAUUUCGGAACAAGUGGGAAACCCGACGGCGCAGUGUUUGUUAGCUGGGGAUCGCGUUCGCGCUCUCCCCGG
Small nuclear RNA from Manis pentadactyla (Chinese pangolin), 163 nucleotides. RefSeq annotates it as U1 spliceosomal RNA. The record is from RefSeq and is a predicted model, not a curated record. The transcript has a single exon. NCBI's taxonomy places the organism in Eukaryota, Metazoa, Chordata, Mammalia, Pholidota, Manidae.